UAGGGAAUAUUGGACAAUGGGGGCAACCCUGAUCCAGCCAUGCCGCGUGAGUGAAGAAGGCCCUCGGGUUGUAAAGCUCUUUUGUCCGGAAAGAAAAGCUUCGGGUUAAUACCCCGGGGUUCUGACGGUACCGGAAGAAUAAGCACCGGCUAACUUCGUGCCAGCAGCCGCGGUAAUACGGAGGGUGCAAGCGUUACUCGGAAUUACUGGGCGUAAAGCGUGCGUAGGUGGUUGUUUAAGUCUGAUGUGAAAGCCCUGUGCUCAACCUGGGAAUGGCAUUGGAAACUGGGCAGCUAGAGUGCGGUAGAGNGUAGUGGAAUUCCCGGUGUAGCAGUGAAAUGCGUAGAGAUCGGGAGGAACAUCUGUGGCGAAGGCGACUGCCUGGACCAGCACUGACACUGAGGCACGAAAGCGUGGGGA
Molecule: ribosomal RNA, 420 nt
Filed under: uncultured bacterium
Lineage: Bacteria
Description: bacterial SSU rRNA
Rfam family: Bacterial small subunit ribosomal RNA
Source: RNAcentral